GUGGGGAAUAUUGGGCAAUGGGCGCAAGCCUGACCCAGCAACGCCGCGUGAGGGAAGAAGGCUUUCGGGUUGUAAACCUCUGUCCUUGGUGACGAAAAAAAUGACGGUAGCCAAGGAGGAAGCCCCGGCUAACUACGUGCCAGCAGCCGCGGUAAUACGUAGGGGGCGAGCGUUGUCCGGAAUUACUGGGCGUAAAGGGUGCGUAGGUGGCCUUUUAAGUUGGAGGUGAAAUACCCGGGCUUAACUUGGGGGGUGCAUCCAAAACUGGGAGGCUAGAGUGCAGGAGAGGAAAGCGGAAUUCCUAGUGUAGCGGUGAAAUGCGUAGAUAUUAGGAGGAACACCAGUGGCGAAGGCGGCUUUCUGGACUGUAACUGACACUGAGGCACGAAAGCGUGGGGAGCAAACAGGAUUAGAAACCCUAGUAGUCC
Molecule: ribosomal RNA, 428 nt
Filed under: uncultured bacterium
Lineage: Bacteria
Description: partial 16S ribosomal RNA
Rfam family: Bacterial small subunit ribosomal RNA
Source: RNAcentral